This is a long non-coding RNA of Capsicum annuum, 224 nucleotides long. RefSeq lists it as uncharacterized. The record is from RefSeq and is a predicted model, not a curated record. NCBI's taxonomy places the organism in Eukaryota, Viridiplantae, Streptophyta, Magnoliopsida, Solanales, Solanaceae. The transcript has 2 exons.
ACAAAAGAAUGAAAAACUUCAUCUCUGAAAAGCUCUCUUUGAAGCAUCCCUGGAGAAUAAUAUUUUCUAGUAAACAAUUGAAACAACCUUCUAUAACUAGUAAUUGAUGUUCUUGUUGAGUUAUGCUGAUGAAGAAGAAGACAAUGGGGAAGAAGACAAUAGUGGGUAGGGGGUUGCAGAGGGGUUGUAUGAAAUAAUUUUAAAAAAUAUUUUUUUUUUUAAAA